This 253-nucleotide ribosomal RNA is filed under the name uncultured bacterium. RNAcentral's name for it is "partial 16S ribosomal RNA". It matches the Rfam family "Bacterial small subunit ribosomal RNA", at positions 524 to 776 of the family's 1533-position model. The record is from RNAcentral.
UACGGAGGGUGCAAGCGUUAUCCGGAUUCACUGGGUUUAAAGGGCGCGUAGGUGGGUCUGUAAGUCAGUGGUGAAAUCUCCGGGCUUAACCUGGAAACUGCCAUUGAUACUAUAGGUCUUGAAUAUUGUGGAGGUUAGCGGAAUAUGUCAUGUAGCGGUGAAAUGCUUAGAUAUGACAUAGAACACCAAUUGCGAAGGCAGCUGGCUACGCAUAUAUUGACACUGAGGCUCGAAAGCGUGGGGAUCAAACAGG